AGCGAACGCUGGCGGCAGGCUUAACACAUGCAAGUCGAGCGGGCAUCUUCGGAUGUCCGCGGCAGACGGGUUAGUAACCCGUGGCAACGUACCCUUCGGUUCGGAACAACUCUUGGAAACUGGCGCUAAUACCGGAUACGCCCUUAUGAUUAAGGGUUUACUGCCAAAGGAUCGGCCCGCGUCUGAUUCUCCAGAUCGUUGGGUAACGGCCUCCCAAGGCCACGAUCAGUCUCUGAGCUGACAGGAAGCUCAGCCACUCUGGGACUGAAACACGCCCCAGACUCCUACGCAGCGCAGAGGUGGGGAAUAUUGCACAACGGGAGCAAGCCUGAUCCAGCCAUGCCGCGUGAGUCAUGAAGGCCUUAGGGUUGUAAAGCUCAUUUGUACGGGACGAUAACGGCGGUACCGGAAGAAUAAGCCCCGGCUAACUUCGUG
This 435-nucleotide ribosomal RNA is filed under the name uncultured bacterium. Its description in RNAcentral is "partial 16S ribosomal RNA". It matches the Rfam family "Bacterial small subunit ribosomal RNA", at positions 29 to 507 of the family's 1533-position model. The record is from RNAcentral.